Corvus hawaiiensis (hawaiian crow) is the source of this 5776-nucleotide long non-coding RNA. RefSeq lists it as uncharacterized. The transcript has 2 exons. NCBI's taxonomy places the organism in Eukaryota, Metazoa, Chordata, Aves, Passeriformes, Corvidae. The record is from RefSeq and is a predicted model, not a curated record.
UGCAGUGCACGGUCCAUCCCUGAGGCGACACCCAGCUCAGGCCGUAUCGCAGCUGUGACCAUUUAAGCACCUGGUCGGUUUUUCUAAGGAAAUACAGAGAGAAAUUUACGAAGAAAAACCUACAUAUGCAGAAAAAAGAAGUGGACAUAUGGACUAUUCAUCAUUGGAAUAAUUUCCCCAGGGAAGUGGUGGAUUUCCCAACAUUGGACACUUUUAACGGUGCUGGGCCAUCCUGUCUAGACUGUGCUUUUGCCAAGAAAGUUUGAACCAGAUGGUCCUUAAGGUCCCUUCCAACCUGGUGUUCUAUGAUCCUAUGAUGUAAAUUGCAAGUCCACCUCCUACAGCUCCCAGCACAAGUUAUUUACUCAAUUUCUAAGGGCUAAAUGAAGGCUCUACUGAAAUAAUGGCAACAUUCUGAGACAUGGUUCCAAAACAGGGUAAUAAUCAUCAUAAAGCAAGGAGAGGUUUGAAAUUUUACAUUUUUUCAAGUUAACAGUAUUUCUACUUAAUAUAACUGGACAUUUGGUCUGGUAGGAUUUAGUUACAUACCAUUAGGAGGUAUUGUGUACAAUAACAAUGUUUAAAAGUCAAAAGUAAAAAAAAAGUAGAGUGUACAGUAAUACAGUGCUUAUUUACAAAAAUAGUGUCCUAAACAGAUCAGUAUAAAAACAGAAGUAACUGUGUUUCAUAUAGCUAUAUCGACAGCAAAAAUAUGUUGCUUUUCAUAAUCCAAUGGGCUUAAUUUUAAUUUUUACUUUUACUUGACAUAUCAUUAUGCCAGCCAAGAUGGCUAAGUAUGAAAACAGUAAGUUGGAACGUGUAAUUCCACAGAGCCAUUAGAUUGUCAAGGAAAUAGCUGUAGACAGGAUCCCCACCUUAUUUAUUUUAAAGCACAUGUGACUGCAUUUUAAAAUUUCAACACAUUGUUGAAAGGAGGCACAAAUACCAAGUACAUCUUUGUACAUCACUUUAUAGUAUUCACCGUGAAAUGGUUGCUCCAGCUCUGCAUAUAUUUCUGAAAGCAAGCUAGGAACUACUGGGAUCUGUAUUUUUUAAAAUGGUACCAGUAUGGGCAAACUAAGGCUUGUAUAUAUAAUGCACAAUAUCUACUCACUAACAUGAGAUGAUGAUUCAAUGGAAUUCAAUGGUUUCAAUGGAAUUAUUAACCUAUAUAGCCAAUAGAACAUGGAUUGUAAACACUCAGCAAUAUACUCCCCUGCUUAACAGCUAAACUUCUCAAACAAUAGAAAUUGCAAGUAAAACAAAAGAUAAUUUAAAAUUAGUCCUCAUGCUUUCAAUACAAACCCAGUCUCUUUGAGUCAAAUAAGUAUAAACUGGUUUUUUUAGCUUUCCCUUCAGUAAGUAUGAGAAUACAUGUUCUUUUGAAAAAAUAAUGAUAUUGUUAUCCAAAACUAUUACUAAGAAUAAGAGAAUGAAGUCUUUAGAAUUUCUUUCGCAGAAAACAAAAAUAUUUAAGACAGGUAGGAUUUAAUUUGGGUGAUAUUGACCAAAGAUCAUUGCAUAUAUGUAGCUCAGCACUAAAGUAAUUCCUGCUUCCCUCUGAAACUCUGUCAAAAAGUCUUCUUUACAGACUGUGUGUGUGUUGCUGCUGAAGGUUGUGUAGCAAGCAGUAGAAAUGCCUCAUUCCACUGCUGCUAAUGGGAAUGUGGGACUUGGAUUAGGUGGAAGAUGAAAACACAAACCAACCCUGCCUGCCUCACUUUCUGUGGUUUGGGAUUUUCACUGCACUUACACUUCACAGCAAUGAAAUGCAGAAUUCUCAAAUAGGUAUUAUUACGAAAUGUUUUCAGAAAUUGAUCUCUGAGCAAAGAGAAGACAUAUGCUACCAUUCCAGACAUAAAUCAUUGGAGGGAACUACCUGGAUUGUUUGUGAGAGAAGGACUUAUUUAAACAAGUACAUUUAUAAAGCAUUGUUUACCCCAAGGAACCUUCUACACAUGAAUGUCAGAGGAAACUGUAGAAGGUCAUAUAUCUCAGCUCUGUGAACCAGUUGUCUUCAGUGACAGGGGAUGUUUUGUAUAAAUAAGGCUUAAUCCUGCUCUGUGGCACGCUUACCUAAUGCUGACUCAUUUGCAAGGGCCACCUUCUAUAUGAAAAAGAGUCCAAAAUGUAUGUUUUAUGAUGAAGAAAACAUCAAUUUUUUUUUUCACGUUUUGUCUCCCUUAAAGGACUGACUCACUUACCAAAUCCCACAUACACUCAGGGUAGUCAGGUUUGGAAUUGAAGUUCCAUUUCUAAGCAAAGCUCCAUUAAGCUUGUUUGUUAACAAAUGCAAUUUUCUAUUCCAUUUCUUCAAAAUAUCUUCUUUGUCAUAUUCUUGCCUCUUUAAAUAUGCUUAUUUAUAGGCUGGCUACACAGACUCCCCUUUCACCUAGUUAACAGACUGCAACAUAUGGGAUGCUGCCUUCACCUCCCAUUGCGAGCAUCAGGAAAUCGAGCAGCACCUCUGCUGUAUUUACACAGGCAGGCUGGGGCUCUCCUGCUCUCACACUCCAGUCUUACUCCCCACUCUGCCACAUGGCACUGCACACUUGGGAUCUGUUGAACUCUCCUGUGAGAGGAACAUAAGGAGUCCUUGGAGGUUGCUCAUGGAAGCAAUAUCAAACCAGGCUCAAACCCCAUGGCCCUGGGAGUGCGUGAACAGGCCUGUAUGUUGUACCAGUUGCAUGUUCCUGGGUGUUGCUGAAGUAGUAGCAACUCCAUGGACACAUCCUGUCUCCUGCGCUCCAAAGUGUUACACCUGGUACUCCUGUAACCUGCUUUACACAUGCGACAGAAACUGGUCCCCAGUUUUGCAUGAUCCAGUUUACCUUUCAGUUUUAACUGCAGUUACUUCAUCGUGUCUGUGGAACCCAGUGUUGAGCACAUAUGCACUUACGUCUUGAACUCCUCCAGGAAAUCAAGUUUCUUAUGGCCUUGUUCCAGGAAAACAGGUUUCUUACUCCCUUAUAAUACGAACUCGGCUCCUUGUACAAGAAAGUACUUAACACUUUAAAAAAGCUUUUCCUGUGAUCUCAUUACUGUGCACACUGUGUUAUGUGUUAAUGGAAACCUCAUCAAUUACCGGCUGUUCAGCUACAUCCUGUGUAAUGCAGGGUCACCCUAUAGAGCUUAUAUGGAAUUAUGAACAAAAGGCCUAUUCUCUCCCACAUAAGCACAAACCCAAAUUAAUUUUGAGUCAGACUUGGCAGCAUUUCAAAUUUCUGCUGCCCAUGUAGUUAAAAAGAAUGACACUGAUGAAUAAAAUUAUUUUAUAAGAGCGCUGACUUACAUCCUAAAAAUGUUGACUCAUUUCGGCACCCAUUCCAUGGCUCAUUUUGCACAUGGAAGUCUCCUUUGUGUGAAGCCUUGCUUCCUCUCCUAGUUCUGACUUCAGCCUGGUGUUUGAUCUCACCCUAAGUGCCACUAAGUCACUAAGUGCCACUAAGUUUUUCCAUUUAUUCCAGCACUUGAUCUAUUUGCCCCAGCAUAGCUGAUUAUACGAAGAAAAAGUAGUAUGCUAUUAGCUAGAUAGUAUGAAAAUAAUUUCAUUGUUGUGCCUGGUUGUUUGACUACAUUUUCUCUGCUUUGUACUUCUUUCUUGGUGGAAUUUCUCACAUAUCUCAUUGCCUGAAGUCAGCCCUUGCUCUGAGCUGUCCCAUCUGUGCUGCUGCUUGACACUAACUUGAGGGAAUGCAGGAGAGAAUACCUUGGAUAGGGCUAUCAGGGGCAGUAAGACAGGACUGAGUCAGGCCUUCACUUGUCACUAGUAUUUUAACUGAAUUCCACCGACAGCUGGAAGUGCUCAGCUUUUCUAAAAUCUCUGCUGACAGCACACUGCAUGAGCGACUAAAAAAUAAAGGUAAGCAGCUUUACUGAACACAGGAAGAGGCUAAUCAGUGAAUUUUCCUAUUGAUUCAAAUGGCAGCAGAAUUAGACUGAUUCUCCAGCUGAAUUUUAAAUGCUGGGUAUUAAAUAUUUUUGCAAUGCAGGACUACUAUUUUUGCAUGGUUAACCCACACAUCAGAUAUUUUCACCUAUUCACAUGAAUCACUCAUUGAAAAUUAGUCCUCUAAUAACCUGUACCCUCACACGAUGCAAAAUCAGAACCAGCCACAGGGAAGAACUAUCAAGUGCUUUUAGAAAGCUAUUAGGAUGAAGGAAGCUCUUGAGUAAGUUUCCUUUCAAGCCUUGCAUAUUAUGAAUAACCCACACUGCUCUGUAUUAUGUGAAUAUUUACAAUUUCCAUUUCUUAGAUAACCUAAGGAAUCUAUGCACGGAAAUAUGGGGGAGCAGGGGGUGUUGGAGUGGUCAGAUCCAUUCAUAACUAUGAAUUAUUCAUUAUUCUUUGUUUUAUCAACAGUUUGGUGUUGGGACUGUAAAAUAUCAGUAGAGAAAAAAACAGUCAACCCUGAGGAAUUGUACAGAAACGAAAACCUAUUCUGGCAGAUGAUUUCCUAUGACUGCUUUCAUGGAAGUUGCCAGUGCACGGCACAGAUCUCCCAGCUUUGGUCAUGAGUGUUGAUGUAUGGGACUGCUGUCAAAACCUCUGUUCACGAGAGGUACAAGCUGAAUACUAAGUAUUGAAGCUGUUUUGCAAAAGGAGGAAUGGGCUUCACCUGGAGCCAGUUCACUCACUGUAAUAUCGUCUUAAUGGACUAUUCUCCCAACCAAUCUUAAAAGACCAAAACAAGCCUUUGCUUUCCUAUAAAAACACAGGCCUUGUUAAACACAGAUUACUGACUUUAAGUCCCUCUGUGCUGCUGCAGGAGUAUAAUUAGCACAGUUUCCAAAGGUUUAUUUUCCAGCAUUUUUUGCCUUUUUUUCCCUGAAAAGCUGGAUGCUGUAAUUUCAGAAUCCAAGUUAUAUGCAAUGGCCAGACUGAUUUUGAGGUUUCCUAUUUUCCUACGAAAACAUAAUUUUUCUUUCUUUUGCAUUUGCAAUUCAAUUUGUGAAUGAGUUUUCAACAGUUUUGUACAGCAGAGAAAACACUUUUUAAGGCAAGCAAAUGCACUAAGAGCAUUUCAUAUUUGGCAUCUUUCUAAAGCUGUAUCAGAGUAACAAGCUUCUGUUCUUGUUUCUAAAUACGUGAAGGUAAAGUCUACCCUUAAAGCAUAGUGCAGUUUCUUACUGUUAUUUAAAGUGUGAGAAUCCAUCUUAAGUCCAAAAGAAUCAAGGUUCUCAAAAACACAGUCUAUAAACAUAACUCUUGCUUUGUCUUUGCUCUUUCCAAUAACUUUUGAGUGAUUGUGACUACAUGUGACAGAGGCAGAAGUCACAGAGAUAAUGAGCUUCCUACAAGUGUGAUAAAAGCAGUCAAGCAGAUCAGAGCGAUUCUCUACAUGGCACCUGUAAGUGCCAGAGCCGAAGGACAAACUGUGCAUGUGCUCACACUGUUCAAACACCAGAGAAACCAUAUGGGGGAAGACACUCGGAAAUGCUCAAGCCAAGACAGAAGCUGCAAGCAAAGUGCAAAGCAUACAGCCUGCAAAAAACCCUCUGUCAGCUCCAGGACUCCUUAGAACAGUGCCCCUCCUUUUUACAGUGAGUUUACUAUCAAUGUCUUGAAUGGACACCAGACCGAGUCCCUAAUUUGUAAAUUGUAACAAAAGCAUUAUUUCCUGUAGCAUUAACAGACCUCCUAUCAUGGGGAAAGCUCAUUUAUAGUUACUAAAACAAAUGAAGGCUCGUUCUCAUGAUAAAAAUCAAAAUGUUCAAGAGUGAAUCUGUACAUGUGGAUCCUUCCAUUAAACCUGAACCCUGUCUUGGAAGUGAA